RNAcentral lists this ribosomal RNA (499 nucleotides) under uncultured bacterium. Its description in RNAcentral is "partial 16S ribosomal RNA". It matches the Rfam family "Bacterial small subunit ribosomal RNA", at positions 28 to 507 of the family's 1533-position model. The record is from RNAcentral.
GACGAACGCUGGCGGCGUGCCUAAUACAUGCAAGUCGAGCGAAGUUUUUCUGGUGCUUGCACUAGAAAAACUUAGCGGCGAACGGGUGAGUAACACGUAAAGAACCUGCCUCAUAGACUGGGACAACUAUUGGAAACGAUAGCUAAUACCGGAUAACAGCAUUAACUGCAUGGUUGAUGUUUAAAAGUUGGUUUUGCUAACACUAUGAGAUGGCUUUGCGGUGCAUUAGCUAGUUGGUGGGGUAAAGGCCUACCAAGGCGACGAUGCAUAGCCGACCUGAGCGGGUGAUCGGCCACACUGGGACUGAGACACGGCCCAGACUCCUACGGGAGGCAGCAGUAGGGAAUCUUCCGCAAUGGGCGAAAGCCUGACGGAGCAACGCCGCGUGAGUGAAGAAGGAUUUCGGUUCGUAAAGCUCUGUUGUUAGGGAAGAAUGAUUGUGUAGUAACUAUACACAGUAGAGACGGUACCUAACCAGAAAGCCACGGCUAACUACGUG